GAUGAAGAACGUAGCGAAAUGCGAUAAGUAAUGUGAAUUGCAGAAUUCAGUGAAUCAUCGAAUCUUUGAACGCACAUUGCGCCCCUUGGUAUUCCGAGGGGCAUGCCUGUUCGAGCGUCAUUUCAACCCUCAAGCACAGCUUGGUCUUGGGCUUCGCCGCUAACCCGGCGGGUCUUAAAAUCAGUGGCGGUGCCGUCGGGCCCUGAGCGCAGUAAUCUCCCUCGCUAUAGGGUCCCGGCGGAUGCUGGCCAGUAACCCCCAAUUUUCUAUGGUUGACCUCGGAUCAGGUAGGGAUACCCGCUGAACUUAAGCAUAUCAAUAAGCGGAGGA
RNAcentral lists this unclassified non-coding RNA (330 nucleotides) under soil metagenome. Its description in RNAcentral is "partial contains 5.8S ribosomal RNA, internal transcribed spacer 2, and large subunit ribosomal RNA". The stretch from base 1 to 120 matches the Rfam family "5.8S ribosomal RNA", at positions 35 to 154 of the family's 154-position model. The record is from RNAcentral.